UGGGGAAUCUUGCACAAUGGGGGAAACCCUGAUGCAGCGACGCCGCGUGAGCGAUGAAGGUUUUCGAAUCGUAAAGCUCUGUCCUAUGGGAAGAUAAUGACGGUACCAUGGGAGGAAGCCCCGGCUAACUACGUGCCAGCAGCCGCGGUAAUACGUAGGGGGCGAGCGUUGUCCGGAAUUACUGGGCGUAAAGGGUUCGCAGGCGGCAUGGCAAGUCCGAUGUAAAAGGCGAAGGCUCAACCUUCGUAAGCAUCGGAAACUGUCAAGCUUGAGUGGAGGAGAGGAAAGUGGAAUUACUAGUGUAGCGGUGGAAUGCGUAGAUAUUAGGAGGAAUACCGGUGGCGAAGGCGACUUGCUGGACUUCAACUGACGCUGAGGAACGAAAGCGUGGGUAGCAAACAGG
Molecule: ribosomal RNA, 403 nt
Filed under: Fusobacteriota bacterium
Lineage: Bacteria; Fusobacteriati; Fusobacteriota
Description: Fusobacteria bacterium partial 16S ribosomal RNA
Rfam family: Bacterial small subunit ribosomal RNA
Source: RNAcentral